This 401-nucleotide ribosomal RNA is filed under the name uncultured bacterium. RNAcentral describes it as "partial 16S ribosomal RNA". It matches the Rfam family "Archaeal small subunit ribosomal RNA", at positions 473 to 873 of the family's 1478-position model. The record is from RNAcentral.
ACACCGGCGGCCCGAGUGGUGAUCGUGAUUAUUGGGUCUAAAGGGUCCGUAGCCGGUUUGGUCAGUCCUCCGGGAAAUCUGAUAGCUCAACUAUUAGGCUUUCGGGGGAUACUGCCAGACUUGGAACCGGGAGAGGUAAGAGGUACUACAGGGGUAGGAGUGAAAUCUUGUAAUCCCUGUGGGACCACCUGUGGCGAAGGCGUCUUACAAGAACGGGUUCGACGGUGAGGGACGAAAGCUGGGGGCACGAGCCGGAUUAGAUACCCGGGUAGUCCCAGCCGUAAACGAUGCUCGCUAGGUGUCAGGCAUGGCGCGACCGUGUCUGGUGCCGCAGGGAAGCCGUGAAGCGAGCCACCUGGGAAGUACGGUCGCAAGACUGAAACUCAAAUGAAUUGGCGGGG